Long non-coding RNA from Argiope bruennichi, 1142 nucleotides. RefSeq lists it as uncharacterized. Lineage: Eukaryota; Metazoa; Arthropoda; Arachnida; Araneae; Araneidae. The record is from RefSeq and is a predicted model, not a curated record. The transcript is spliced from 4 exons.
UCACCGCUCAGAUAAAUUUCAGUGAUAUGCAAUUUAAUGAUACGAUAAUUCCAAUAACCGGUCCGUUCACUUUUCAAUCCCUUCACAGAUUUCUCCUUUUCUGUUUUGUUCGAGAGCUUCCAUUGGACAGAUCGUAUCGAUUGUUACUUUCCAGUGAAGUCACCGCUCCGGUAAAUUUCAGUGAUAUCGUAUCGAUUGUUACUUUCUAUCGUGAUCCAAAACCUGUAAUCGAAAUAUCACCAGUAAGAUCGUAUCAAGGAUUUGAAUCACACCCGUCUUUGAAAAGUAUUGAUCACUGAUAUUUGUGACUUUAUGAUAUUGGUUACGUAAUAACCACUCGUAAAAUAUUCGUCAUCCCUACUCACACUUCCGGAGGACAUUUCUUCCGUGCUUUUGUUAUUUGUGAUGUCUUCCAGGUGGCGCUAUUAGUUGUUUCAAUUUUCAACUUUUGGUUGUGCUGACAUGUGUAAUGUUUUUGUUUUACACACGCAUUCGGAUUACCUAACAUUUUCAAACGCAUUUGACACAUACAUAAUCGAAUGUAAUGAUAGAUAAAAACUUAUCAAUAUUUAGAUGAUUUUUUUAAUUUACGAUUCAUUAUGCACUUAUAGUAUCUUCUUUACUUAUAAUUAAAGUGAAUAUUUAAAUCUUCAUGAGAUGGAUAGAAAUUUAAAAGCAUGCAACAUUUUGUUUUGGCAAUCAUUUGCGAAAAUAUAGUUGUGCAAAGUUUUCUCCAUUUUAAAGCUGGGAUAAAAUCUCUUUAUAAAAAUGCAGUGGCCUCUAGAUUUUAUCACCAAUCAACUGAGAUAUGUAUCACCAAGAUGGACGCAUUACAUAAGAUGGAACUUACUGUAAUCUUAAGAUUUCCAAGUUAGCUCGGGGACUGCUAUAAUAUGUUGAAUUUCCAGAAAAACUAAUACUCCUGCAUAAACAUUUCUGAAGUAGAGGAAAGAAUGAAAGAAGAACAUGCACUGUAACCAAUUUCAUUUAAUCGUAUAUCAUUGCCAUUAUAUAUGUAGUGACGAGCGCCAUCUGCUGGUUGUUAGACGGAGUUGACACUGGUUAGACGGAGAGCAGAUCAGACGGAUCUGGAGGAAAGUAAAGACGUGGCAGAUCAGACGGAUCUGGACGAGAGAAAAGAC